Molecule: ribosomal RNA, 492 nt
Filed under: uncultured bacterium
Lineage: Bacteria
Description: partial 16S ribosomal RNA
Rfam family: Bacterial small subunit ribosomal RNA
Source: RNAcentral
AGUGAACGCUGGCGGUAGGCCUAACACAUGCAAGUCGAACGGCAGCACAGUAAGAGCUUGCUCUUACGGGUGGCGAGUGGCGGACGGGUGAGGAAUACAUCGGAAUCUACUUUUUCGUGGGGGAUAACGUAGGGAAACUUACGCUAAUACCGCAUACGACCUACGGGUGAAAGCAGGGGAUCUUCGGACCUUGCGCGAUUGAAUGAGCCGAUGUCGGAUUAGCUAGUUGGCGGGGUAAAGGCCCACCAAGGCGACGAUCCGUAGCUGGUCUGAGAGGAUGAUCAGCCACACUGGAACUGAGACACGGUCCAGACUCCUACGGGAGGCAGCAGUGGGGAAUAUUGGGCAAUGGGCGAAAGCCUGACCGAGCAAUACCGCGUGGGUGAUGAAGGCCUUCGGGUUGUAAAGCUCUUUUGUUGGGAAAGAAAAGCAGCAGGUUAAUCCGUCGAUGUUUUGACGGUACCUAAACAAUAAGCCCCGGCUAACUUCGUG